AGAGCGAACGCUGGCGGCAGGCUUAACACAUGCAAGUCGAGCGGGCGUAGCAAUACGUCAGCGGCAGACGGGUGAGUAACGCGUGGGAACGUACCUUUUGGUUCGGAACAACACAGGGAAACUUGUGCUAAUACCGGAUAAGCCCUUACGGGGAAAGAUUUAUCGCCAAAAGAUCGGCCCGCGUCUGAUUAGCUAGUUGGUGAGGUAACGGCUCACCAAGGCGACGAUCAGUAGCUGGUCUGAGAGGAUGAUCAGCCACAUUGGGACUGAGACACGGCCCAAACUCCUACGGGAGGCAGCAGUGGGGAAUAUUGGACAAUGGGCGCAAGCCUGAUCCAGCCAUGCCGCGUGAGUGAUGAAGGCCCGUAGGGUUGUAAAGCUCUUUUGUGCGGGAAGAUAAUGACGGUACCGCAAGAAUAAGCCCCGGCUAACUUCGUGCCAGCAGCCGC
RNAcentral lists this ribosomal RNA (449 nucleotides) under uncultured bacterium. Its description in RNAcentral is "SSU rRNA". It matches the Rfam family "Bacterial small subunit ribosomal RNA", at positions 26 to 518 of the family's 1533-position model. The record is from RNAcentral.